Molecule: long non-coding RNA, 301 nt
Organism: Aplysia californica (California sea hare)
Lineage: Eukaryota; Metazoa; Mollusca; Gastropoda; Aplysiida; Aplysiidae
Exons: 2
Source: RefSeq, a predicted model, not a curated record
GGGUGCCAGCCCGCUGCCUGCUGCUCUCCGCUGUUCUGAGAUAAAUAGACGCCACAGUUGCCACUCGCCAACAGAUUUGGCGGCGGACUCAUUCGUUUAGGAUUUCUGCAGGCAAAGUAGUGGUCACAACUUGAUGGGGCACCAGGAAAAAGGUAGUCAAGUAACAGGUGAAUCGAGAGUUUACGAACUUGGCUUACGGACCUGAUUAAAAACGAACACCGGUAAAAAGUAAACCUGCAUUUUCAUCCAACCUGAUCAAUCAAGCAAGUUCUACUUUGUAUUCGGAGAAGAUUUACUUACA